CUGCUUCAGCAUCCAAGUCUUGAGGGGCCAUGAGAGCAGAGGUAGCCAAGUCGUCGUCACAUUAAGGCAGAGUGAGGACGUAAUUAGCUCAUUAGCGUUUAAGUGUUGGUUCGAUAUACAACCUUUGAUCUGUGUGGUUUGUUAUAGAUCUAAUGACCCAUGAAGAAAGUUUUCACUGGAUACUUUCUCUACGCAAGUUUUUAUCUAAUUGUUGCAUUUCUCAUAGUGUUAUAGGGGUAUUUUGUAACCUAGAGCAAUCAGACACACUUUCUAUCCGAAAAUGAAAUCUGAACAUCUAUUGUAGUGAAGUUAAACAAUGCAUGUAGCUUAGUUUUAAUAUGUUAACUAAUGUACCUACUUACAGUGAUCUUUUAACUCAAUGAGAAUUACAGAAAUUUGCUUGGCGAACGCCUCGUGUCACUUGGCAUCAAAGAGCCAAAGCUGCUUGAAAAGCAACUUGAUUCAUCCUCAAGACACAACAUAUGCUUCUUCAUCUCACUGGUCUCUAGAGGAAGGAAGAGAUCUUGUCUGAAGCAAAUGAGUGCCUUAGAAGAAAAGAAAAUGUAAUUGCCCAUUGCACGUAUUAAUU
This is a long non-coding RNA of Triticum dicoccoides, 589 nucleotides long. RefSeq lists it as uncharacterized. The record is from RefSeq and is a predicted model, not a curated record. The transcript has 3 exons. NCBI's taxonomy places the organism in Eukaryota, Viridiplantae, Streptophyta, Magnoliopsida, Poales, Poaceae.